AUCUUUCCCUAAAACUAGGGCAUCAAAGCAGAGAGAGCCAGUGCAUAGAGUGAAGUGCACACAUGUCCACAGAAAAGUACAGUCAGCAGAGCAUAUAGCGCCAGAGAGACAAAGAAGCCUUUCUGCCAUUCCAGUUCUGUGUUCAUUCCUGUUUGGAGGAAGAACUAUACCUCCUCACCUUUGAUCGAGAUGGCCUGUAUACUUCUGGUGCUGAUCCCAUGAGCACUCCCUAAUAAAUUUCUUGCAGGUUAAUCUCCAUCUAAAAAUUUGCUUCUCAGAAAACUCAACAUGCAACACAUGAUAAAAGGCAUUUAUUCGCUCAGACAACUGAACAUCUAGUGGGGUGGAAAAAUCAUUCCCAUACUUCCAGUCCUCACGCUUGCCGGUCACCCCAUCCAGAAGGAGAUUCCAAAUG
This 415-nucleotide long non-coding RNA is filed under the name Equus caballus (horse). RNAcentral describes it as "lncRNA (ENSECAG00000051635.1)". The record is from RNAcentral. Lineage: Eukaryota; Metazoa; Chordata; Mammalia; Perissodactyla; Equidae.